CAGGGUGUGGGAAAGCUUGGAAAUCCGCGUGCUUCGGGUGCACGAGACCGCUGGUUUAAAUCCGGCCAUCCUGAC
Molecule: transfer RNA, 75 nt
Rfam family: tRNA
About the family: Transfer RNA (tRNA) molecules are approximately 80 nucleotides in length. Their secondary structure includes four short double-helical elements and three loops (D, anti-codon, and T loops).